UACGUAGGGCGCAAGCGUUGUCCGGAAUUAUUGGGCGUAAAGAGCUCGUAGGCGGUCUGUCGCGUCUGCUGUGAAAUCCCGAGGCUCAACCUCGGGCUUGCAGUGGGUACGGGCAGACUAGAGUGCGGUAGGGGAGAAUGGAAUUCCUGGUGUAGCGGUGGAAUGCGCAGAUAUCAGGAGGAACACCGAUGGCGAAGGCAGUUCUCUGGGCCGUAACUGACGCUGAGGAGCGAAAGCGUGGGGAGCGAACAGGAUUAGAUA
Molecule: ribosomal RNA, 261 nt
Filed under: uncultured Actinomycetales bacterium
Lineage: Bacteria; Bacillati; Actinomycetota; Actinomycetes; Actinomycetales
Description: partial 16S ribosomal RNA
Rfam family: Bacterial small subunit ribosomal RNA
Source: RNAcentral